UACGUAGGGUGCGAGCGUUAAUCGGAAUUACUGGGCGUAAAGCGUGCGCAGGCGGUUCGUUGUGUCGGCGGUGAAAGCCCCGGGCUUAACCUGGGAAUGGCCGUUGAAACUGGCGAACUGGAGUGUGGCAGAGGGGGGUGGAAUUCCGCGUGUAGCAGUGAAAUGCGCAGAUAUCAGGAGGAACACCGACGGCGAAGGCAGGUCUCUGGGCCGAUACUGACGCUGAGGAGCGAAAGCGUGGGGAGCGAACAGG
Molecule: ribosomal RNA, 253 nt
Filed under: uncultured bacterium
Lineage: Bacteria
Description: partial 16S ribosomal RNA
Rfam family: Bacterial small subunit ribosomal RNA
Source: RNAcentral